AUGGAGAGAGACAUUUCUCUUCAUCUCUUGGUCUUCUCUUUUGUCUCUAUUUCUGUACCCCCUGUCUCUCUCUCUCUCUCUCUCUCUCUCUCUCUCUCUCUCUCUCUCUCUCUCUCUCCCCCCUUGUCCGUCUCACCCCUGCUCUUUGUCUCCUUGUCUCUCGCUCUCUCAAUGUCUCCUUCUCUCCCCCUCUCUCCAUAUUUCUUUCCCUGUCUCUCCCUCUCUCCAUGUCUCUCACCCUGUCUCUCUCCCCUUGUCUGUCUCACCCCCACUCUGUUUCCCUGUCUCUCCCUCUCCCUGACUCUUCCUCUCUCUAUGUCUCUCCCCCCAUCUCUUUUGCCCUCUCUCCCUUUCUCCGUCUCCCCCGUCUCUCUCUCCCUCUUUCUCCAUCUCUCCCUCUCUGUCUCUCUCCCCUUGUCUGUCUCACCCCCACUGUUUCCCUGUCUCUCCCUCUCCCUGACUCUUCCUCUCUAUGUCUCUCUCUCCCACUCUCUCUCCAUGUCUCUCCCCCCAUCUCUUUUGCCCUCUCUCCCUUUCUCCGUCUCCCCCGUCUCUCUCUCCCUCUUUCUCCAUCUCUCCCUCUCUGUCUCUCUCCCCUUGUCUGUCUCACCCCCACUCUGUUUCCCUGUCUCUCCCUCUCCCUCACUCUUCCUCUCUCUAUGUCUCUCCCCCCAUCUCUUUUGCUCUCUCCCUCUUUCUCCCUGUCUCUCCCUCUCUCUCUAUGUCUCUCUCCCUUCCUCUCCCCUUGUCUGUCUCUCCCUGACUCUUCCUCUCUCUAUGUCUCUCUCUCUCCCGCUCUCUCUCCAUGUCUCUCCCCCCAUCUCUUUUGCUCUCUCCCUCUUUCUCCCUGUCUCUCCCUCUCUCCCUAUGUCUCUCCCUCUCCCUCCCCUUCCUCCCUCUCCCUCUCCCUCUCUCCCUCUCCCUCUCCCUCAAGCACUAUCACAUGCUCCAGUCAAUUCUUCAAGCGCCUUUUGCAUAAACCGAGCAGGGCUGCGAACUGUGUCACUUCUCAGGGAAGCCGUAGUUAAAACCUUGGCCGACUGA
RNAcentral lists this long non-coding RNA (1044 nucleotides) under Scleropages formosus (Asian bonytongue). RNAcentral describes it as "lncRNA (ENSSFOG00015026949.1)". The record is from RNAcentral. Lineage: Eukaryota; Metazoa; Chordata; Actinopteri; Osteoglossiformes; Osteoglossidae.